CGUAGGGUGCGAGCGUUAAUCGGAAUUACUGGGCGUAAAGCGUGCGCAGGCGGUUAUAUAAGACAGAUGUGAAAUCCCCGGGCUCAACCUGGGACCUGCAUUUGUGACUGUAUAGCUAGAGUACGGUAGAGGGGGAUGGAAUUCCGCGUGUAGCAGUGAAAUGCGUAGAUAUGCGGAGGAACACCGGAUGGCGAAGGCAAUCCCCUGGACCUGUACUGACGCUCAUGCACGAAAGCGUGGGGAGGCAAACAGGAUUAGAUACCCUGGUAGUCCACGCCCUAAACGAUGUCAACUGGUUGUUGGGUCUUCACUGACUCAGUAACGAAGCUAACGCGUGAAGUUGACCGCCUGGGGAGUACGGCCGCAAGGUUG
Molecule: ribosomal RNA, 372 nt
Filed under: uncultured organism
Description: bacterial SSU rRNA
Rfam family: Bacterial small subunit ribosomal RNA
Source: RNAcentral